GGUUCGUUAGUCGAAAAUACUGAAUAAUUAAACAAACCAAAUGGCAUCACUGGUGGUUCUUUUUUCCACUCCGCUAAACUGUCAUCUCAAACAAAAACAAAUGGAUCAUACAACUGCUAUGAAUACAUUCGACUCGUUUGCUUCCAUCAAUCGGUAAGUGAGAAAGAUGAUUUCUCCCAUCACCACAGUGCGGAUUUCCACUUCUAUCACAGCAGCCAACAACAUCCGUUUUCCUGCAGCAGUAACCUCCAACCCCUGUUGGCAAUGCCGGGGGACAGCAUCAACAGCAGCAACAGCAGAAUUUAACCAUGGUAUGGUAUCGCGAAGAACUUUCCCCAUUAGAGGUUCCGUGCUUCGCGCACAUUCAAAAAUCCUCUUCAGAUACGAAAACUCAACGACAAGGAGGUAUUUAUCAACUUGCUCAGCUCAAUUACCGCCCCGGAGGAACCCGAAUGCACUGAUUCCGUAGUAUAGUAGAAUGAAAAUAGGCGAGGUUAGCGAACGUAAUCGCAUGAUAUUUUAAUGUUCGCAUUUUUAUCCGGAUCAUACAACUGCUAUGAAUACAUCCGACUCAAUCAAUCGGCGAGUGAGAAAGAUGAUUUCCCUCAUCACCACAUUGCUUAUUUCCACUUCUGUCACACCAGCCAACAGCAUCAGCUUACCCGCAGCAGUAUCCUUUAAGUCCAGGGUGCUAUUCCGGGGAACAGCAUCAACAGCAACAGCAGCAGGACCUGGCCAUCGAUAGUAUUUCGAGCAAUUUUCCCCAUCGUAGAUCCCGUGCUUCACGCACAUUGAAGAAUCCUCCUCAGCCACAUAUCUGUGUCAUCAAGGGCAAGGAGGUAUUCAUCAAUGUACUCAGUCGGAUUUGAAUCGUCAAUCCAGACAACCCGGAUGCACCGAUUUCAUUAUAUACCUUAUUUUUAU
This is a long non-coding RNA of Toxorhynchites rutilus septentrionalis, 924 nucleotides long. RefSeq lists it as uncharacterized. Lineage: Eukaryota; Metazoa; Arthropoda; Insecta; Diptera; Culicidae. The record is from RefSeq and is a predicted model, not a curated record. The transcript has 3 exons.